This 253-nucleotide ribosomal RNA is filed under the name uncultured bacterium. RNAcentral describes it as "partial 16S ribosomal RNA". It matches the Rfam family "Bacterial small subunit ribosomal RNA", at positions 524 to 776 of the family's 1533-position model. The record is from RNAcentral.
UACGGGGGGGGCAAGCGUUGUUCGGAAUUACUGGGCGUAAAGGGCUCGUAGGUGGCCAACUAAGUCAGACGUGAAAUCCCUCGGCUUAACCGGGGAACUGCGUCUGAUACUGGAUGGCUUGAGUUUGGGAGAGGGACGCGGAAUUCCAGGUGUAGCGGUGAAAUUCGUAGAUAUUGGGAAGAACACCGGUGGCGAAGGCGGCGACCUGGUCCGAUACUGACGCUGAGGCGCGAAAGCGUGGGGAGCAAACAGG